Molecule: ribosomal RNA, 260 nt
Filed under: Escherichia coli
Lineage: Bacteria; Pseudomonadati; Pseudomonadota; Gammaproteobacteria; Enterobacterales; Enterobacteriaceae
Description: partial 16S ribosomal RNA
Rfam family: Bacterial small subunit ribosomal RNA
Source: RNAcentral
AAAUUGAAGAGUUUGAUCAUGGCUCAGAUUGAACGCUGGCGGCAGGCCUAACACAUGCAAGUCGAACGGUAACAGGAAGAAGCUUGCUUCUUUGCUGACGAGUGGCGGACGGGUGAGUAAUGUCUGGGAAACUGCCUGAUGGAGGGGGAUAACUACUGGAAACGGUAGCUAAUACCGCAUAACGUCGCAAGACCAAAGAGGGGGAGCUUCGGGCCUCUUGCCAUCGGAUGUGCCCAGAUGGGAUUAGCUAGUAGGUGGGG